GAACGCUGGCGGCGUGCCUAAUACAUGCAAGUCGAUCGAACAGACGAGGAGCUUGCUCCUCUGACUUUAGCGGCGGACGGGUGAGUAACACGUGGAUAACCUACCUAUAAGACUGGGAUAACUUCGGUAAACCGGAGCUAAUACCGGAUAAUAUAUUGAAUCGCAUGGUUCAAUAGUGAAAGACGGUUUUGCUGUCACUUAUAGAUGUAUCCGCGCCUCAUUAGCUAGUUGGUAAGGUAACGGCUUACCAAGGCAACGAUGCGUAGCCGACCUGAGAGGGUGAUCGGCAACACUGGAACUGAGACACGGUCAAGCCUCCUACGGGAGCAAGCAGUAGGGAAUCUUCCGCAAUGGGCGAAAGCCUGACGGAGAACCGCCGCGUGAGUGAUGAAGGUCUUCGGAUCGAAAACCUCUGUUAUUAGGGAAGAACAAAUGUGUAAGUAAAUAUGCACGUAUUGACGGUACCUAAUCAGAAAGCCACGGCUAACUACGUG
This 494-nucleotide ribosomal RNA is filed under the name uncultured bacterium. RNAcentral describes it as "partial 16S ribosomal RNA". It matches the Rfam family "Bacterial small subunit ribosomal RNA", at positions 31 to 507 of the family's 1533-position model. The record is from RNAcentral.